RNAcentral lists this ribosomal RNA (305 nucleotides) under uncultured bacterium. RNAcentral's name for it is "bacterial SSU rRNA". It matches the Rfam family "Bacterial small subunit ribosomal RNA", at positions 337 to 657 of the family's 1533-position model. The record is from RNAcentral.
UCCUACGGGGCGCAGCAGUGGGGAAUAUUGGGCAAUGGGCGCAAGCCUGACCCAGCAACGCCGCGUGAAGGAAGAAGGCUUUCGGGUUGUAAACUUCUUUUAAGAGGGAAGAGUAGAAGACGGUACCUCUUGAAUAAGCCACGGCUAACUACGUGCCAGCAGCCGCGGUAAUACGUAGGGGGCAAGCGUUAUCCGGAUUUACUGGGUGUAAAGGGAGCGUAGGCGGUUUAGCAAGUCAGAAGUGAAAGCCCGGGGCUCAACUCCGGGACUGCUUUUGAAACUGUUGAACUAGAUUGCAGGAGAGG